This 492-nucleotide ribosomal RNA is filed under the name uncultured bacterium. RNAcentral describes it as "partial 16S ribosomal RNA". It matches the Rfam family "Bacterial small subunit ribosomal RNA", at positions 29 to 507 of the family's 1533-position model. The record is from RNAcentral.
AGUGAACGCUGGCGGUAGGCCUAACACAUGCAAGUCGAACGGCAGCACAGUAAGAGCUUGCUCUUACGGGUGGCGAGUGGCGGACGGGUGAGGAAUACAUCGGAAUCUACUUUUUCGUGGGGGAUAACGUAGGGAAACUUACGCUAAUACCGCAUACGACCUACGGGGGAAAGCAGGGGAUCUUCGGACCUUGCGCGAUUGAAUGAGCCGAUGUCGGAUUAGCUAGUUGGGGGGGUAAAGGCCCACCAAGGCGACGAUCCGUAGCUGGUCUGAUAGGAUGAUCAGCCACACUGGAACUGAGACACGGUCCAGACUCCUACGGGAGGCAGCAGUGGGGAAUAUUGGACAAUGGGCGCAAGCCUGAUCCAGCCAUACCGCGUGGGUGAAGAAGGCCUUCGGGUUGUAAAGCCCUUUUGUUGGGAAAGAAAAGCAGCAGGUUAAUACCCCGCUGUUCUGACGGUACCCAAAGAAUAAGCACCGGCUAACUUCGUG